GACGAACGCUGGCGGCGCGCCUAACACAUGCAAGUCGAACGAGCGAGAGAGAGCUUGCUUUCUCGAGCGAGUGGCGAACGGGUGAGUAACGCGUGAGGAACCUGCCUCAAAGAGGGGGACAACAGUUGGAAACGACUGCUAAUACCGCAUAAGCCCACGGUGCCGCAUGGCACAGGGGGAAAAGGAGCAAUCCGCUUUGAGAUGGCCUCGCGUCCGAUUAGCUAGUUGGUGAGGUAAUGGCCCACCAAGGCGACGAUCGGUAGCCGGACUGAGAGGUUGAACGGCCACAUUGGGACUGAGACACGGCCCAGACUCCUACGGGAGGCAGCAGUGGGGAAUAUUGCACAAUGGGGGAAACCCUGAUGCAGCGACGCCGCGUGGAGGAAGAAGGUCUUCGGAUUGUAAACUCCUGUUGUUGGGGAAGAUAAUGACGGUACCCAACAAGGAAGUGACGGCUAACUACGUG
Molecule: ribosomal RNA, 466 nt
Filed under: uncultured bacterium
Lineage: Bacteria
Description: partial 16S ribosomal RNA
Rfam family: Bacterial small subunit ribosomal RNA
Source: RNAcentral